This 446-nucleotide ribosomal RNA is filed under the name uncultured bacterium. Its description in RNAcentral is "SSU rRNA". It matches the Rfam family "Bacterial small subunit ribosomal RNA", at positions 26 to 518 of the family's 1533-position model. The record is from RNAcentral.
AGAACGAACGCUGGCGGCAGGCCUAACACAUGCAAGUCGAACGCGAUCUUCGGAUCGAGUGGCGCACGGGUGAGUAACGCGUGGGAAUCUGCCCUGUGGUACGGAAUAACAUCGGGAAACUGGUGCUAAUACCGUAUAUCCCCUGAGGGGGAAAGAUUUAUCGCCAUGGGAGGAGCCCGCGUAGGAUUAGCUAGUUGGUGAGGUAACGGCUCACCAAGGCGACGAUCCUUAGCUGGUCUGAGAGGAUGAUCAGCCACACUGGGACUGAGAUACGGCCCAGACUCCUACGGGAGGCAGCAGUGGGGAAUAUUGGACAAUGGGGGAAACCCUGAUCCAGCCAUGCCGCGUGUGUGAUGAAGGCCUUCGGGUUGUAAAGCACUUUCGCACGUGACGAUGAUGACGGUAACGUGAGAAGAAGCCCCGGCUAACUUCGUGCCAGCAGCCGC